RNAcentral lists this unclassified non-coding RNA (618 nucleotides) under Cylindrospermum badium CCALA 1000. RNAcentral describes it as "16S-23S ribosomal RNA intergenic spacer". The stretch from base 281 to 353 matches the Rfam family "tRNA". The record is from RNAcentral. Lineage: Bacteria; Bacillati; Cyanobacteriota; Cyanophyceae; Nostocales; Nostocaceae.
UUUAGGGAGACCUGCCCACUCAAAUAUCGAAAGCAUUCAGUCAAUAGAUAUUGAGUUGGUCAUCCUAAGGUCGGUCGCAGAUAUGGUCAAUGGCUUUCAAACUAUGAUUGGUUCGUUUAGGGGCUAUUAGCUCAGGUGGUUAGAGCGCACCCCUGAUAAGGGUGAGGUCCCUGGUUCGAGUCCAGGAUGGCCCACCUGAAUCAAUUAAAAAUUUCCAAUUCUAAAUUAAGAACGAAGAAAACCUUGUUUUUAAUUUUUAAUGAUCAAUUUUUAAUUGUUGGGGGGUUUAGCUCAGUUGGUAGAGCGCCUGCUUUGCAAGCAGGAUGUCAGCGGUUCGAGUCCGCUAACCUCCACCUAGUGUGACAGUAACGCAAGUGAACAAACACGGCUAGGGAUAGCGAAAAAGUGUUAGAAUUACUUUCGUGGCGGUCAACACCAUAUGGUAGGAUAAUAGAUUGGAGUUGAAUUCAGCAAUUGACGAAAGAGUCAAACUGCUGGAAAAGAAUCCAGCCAGAACCUUGAAAACUGCAUAGUGACGCGAAUAAUAGCAGGCAGACACAGACGUGAUGAUUGUAAUGAUGUCAGUGGAUGCAUGGAGAAACACCAAAAUGUUUGAGU